This 302-nucleotide long non-coding RNA is filed under the name Rosa chinensis. RNAcentral describes it as "sRNA RchiOBHm_Chr4g0387851". The record is from RNAcentral. Lineage: Eukaryota; Viridiplantae; Streptophyta; Magnoliopsida; Rosales; Rosaceae.
GUCGCUAUUGGUCUGGUGGUUUACUCUCUCUACGCGCCGAAGCUUGAGGCUGCCUUCAAAACUAGGUCAAGCUCGGGAAUUGAUUCAUCUACAGGUGCGACUCCGCCUCUCUGGCUCCCUCCCUCUAUUCUCGCUGCUCUCUGCAAGACUGCAACUCCGCCUCUCUGGCUCUCUCUCUCACAAUCAGUCUUCCUCACCUCUGCGGCUCUUCCUCUCAGCUCUCACUCUUGACCCUCGGCGUCAGCAAAUCCAAUCUCCUCUCCAGAACCCUCAACGUCGACGUAGCUGGCCAAUCGGUCAUC